CGGCAACAGCUCAAAUUUGAAAUCUGGCCUCUUUCGGGGUCCGAGUUGUAAUUUGUAGAGGACGUUUCGGGUACCGCUACGGCUUAAAUUUCUUGGAACAGAAUGUCAGAGAGGGUGAGAAUCCCGU
RNAcentral lists this ribosomal RNA (127 nucleotides) under Exophiala sp. RNAcentral's name for it is "partial large subunit ribosomal RNA". It matches the Rfam family "Eukaryotic large subunit ribosomal RNA", at positions 99 to 224 of the family's 3401-position model. The record is from RNAcentral. Lineage: Eukaryota; Fungi; Ascomycota; Eurotiomycetes; Chaetothyriales; Herpotrichiellaceae.